GACGAACGCUGGCGGCGUGCUUAACACAUGCAAGUCGAACGGUAAGGCCCUUUCGGGGGUACACGAGUGGCGAACGGGUGAGUAACACGUGGGUGAUCUGCCCUGCACUUUGGGAUAAGCCUGGGAAACUGGGUCUAAUACCGGAUAGGACUACGCGAUGCAUGUCGUGUGGUGGAAAGCUUUUGCGGUGUGGGAUGGGCCCGCGGCCUAUCAGCUUGUUGGUGGGGUGAUGGCCUACCAAGGCGACGACGGGUAGCCGGCCUGAGAGGGUGUCCGGCCACACUGGGACUGAGAUACGGCCCAGACUCCUACGGGAGGCAGCAGUGGGGAAUAUUGCACAAUGGGCGCAAGCCUGAUGCAGCGACGCUGCGUGGGGGAUGACGGCCUUCGGGUUGUAAACCCCUUUCAGCACAGACGAAGCGUAAGUGACGGUAUGUGCAGAAGAAGCACCGGCCAACUACGUG
Molecule: ribosomal RNA, 464 nt
Filed under: uncultured bacterium
Lineage: Bacteria
Description: partial 16S ribosomal RNA
Rfam family: Bacterial small subunit ribosomal RNA
Source: RNAcentral